AUUAAUAAAUAUUGAAACAAUUAAUUUAAAUUACAGUUUUUUCGUACAAAUAAUUUAAAUAUUUUUAUAGAUAGAAACCAAUCUGACUUACUUCGAUUUGAACUCGAAUCGUGUAAGAUUUUUAAAAGCCGAACAGACUUAAUUAUUAAAUUUCUAUAUUUAAAAUUUAUCUUAAU
This is a long non-coding RNA of Frieseomelitta varia, 176 nucleotides long. RefSeq lists it as uncharacterized. The record is from RefSeq and is a predicted model, not a curated record. NCBI's taxonomy places the organism in Eukaryota, Metazoa, Arthropoda, Insecta, Hymenoptera, Apidae. The transcript has 3 exons.